GCGUACACGGUGGAUGCCCUGGCAGUCAGAGGCGAUGAAGGACGUGCUAAUCUGCGAAAAGCGUCGGUAAGGUGAUAUGAACCGUUAUAACCGGCGAUGUCCGAAUGGGGAAACCCAGUGCAAUUCGUUGCACUAUCGUUAACUGAAUACAUAGGUUAACGAGGCGAACCGGGGGAACUGAAACAUCUAAGUACCCCGAGGAAAAGAAAUCAACCGAGAUUCCCCCAGUAGCGGCGAGCGAACGGGGAGCAGCCCAGAGUCUGAAUCAGCUUGUGUGUUAGUGGAACGGUCUGGAA
This 296-nucleotide ribosomal RNA is filed under the name Klebsiella pneumoniae. RNAcentral describes it as "partial 23S ribosomal RNA". It matches the Rfam family "Bacterial large subunit ribosomal RNA", at positions 15 to 347 of the family's 2925-position model. The record is from RNAcentral. Lineage: Bacteria; Pseudomonadati; Pseudomonadota; Gammaproteobacteria; Enterobacterales; Enterobacteriaceae.